RNA transcript from Aphis gossypii (cotton aphid), 1805 nucleotides. It is a transcript of the gene named leucine-rich repeat-containing protein 23-like, with no coding region annotated. The transcript has 9 exons. The record is from RefSeq and is a predicted model, not a curated record. NCBI's taxonomy places the organism in Eukaryota, Metazoa, Arthropoda, Insecta, Hemiptera, Aphididae.
ACUAUAUAGGAUGAAAACGCAUUUCUACAUAAACCACGGAUCGUUUGCCGGUUCCAUUAUUUACAGACUAUAGAUACACGGCACAUAAUAUUAUUAUAUUCGUAGUGUUAUUAUUGCAAUAUUAUUUGUACCAUUAGCUUUGGAAAAUUAGCUUAUUCGUCACUUCAAUAAUUAUAAUAUACUGACUAUUAAAAUGAGCGAUAAAAAUAUCUCUGGUGCAGCUUCGUAUGAACAACUCGAUAGCACCCGAUUGAAAAGUGUCCAUAGCAAAUUAGCCGUCGCGGAAGAAGACGCUUAUUACAACGAAGCUUCGAUCAAUAAUUAUGGCUACGAGAUUGAUACCGAAGAAGGGUACCCGUAUCCCGAGGAAUGCGAAGAAGGAUUUAAAUUCUGCAAAAGUAAAAAGAAACCAUAUGUCCAACGAUCGAGAUCUAUUUUGGAAGAGGACGCAUUUCCCGAAAUCGUGUUAACCGCUGCCGAAGCCAGAAAAUGUCUGAAUCGCAUCGGCCAAGUAGGAUCGGGAUUAAUUUACGCCUUUGUUCAAAUCGAUAUCGACCAUAGGAGUCUUACAAACAUCGAGGAAAUCAUAAACUUUAAGUAUUUAUCUUUUAUAAACGUGUCGCACAACAACUUGAGCUUGGACGCUUUGGACGUGCUCAGAGAGUUGGAAUACGUGGUCGUGGUACGGGCCGAUCACAAUAACGUCGAUUCCCUUUGUCUGUCUCCAAUGCCGUAUCUACAGGUUUUGACCCUAAACUCUAACAGAGUCUCGUCGCUUUCGGGUCUUAAGCAACCAUCGCUAGAGUGUUUGGAACUGAACGACAACAACAUUUCGUCUCUGUUCCAAGUAUCAAGCCGAAAGUAUAAUAAAAACUAUUGCAAUGAAGAAAUUGCUUGUCCAAACCUUUCCACAUUGGCAUUGUCCAGAAAUGCUUUGGAUACAGUCGAAGAAUUUGUGAUUUUAUCCAAUCAAUUACGCAUAUUAUAUUUGAGCUACAACAAAAUUACCAAGUUAAAUGGAUUAGGUGAUUUGCAAAAUUUAUCUCGCUUACACUUGCGAGGAAAUCAAAUAUCGGACUUGGAUGGUUUUACUGAUAAUUUGAAGUAUUUGUCGUACUUAAACUUGAGAUGAAAGUAGUCAAUGAUACUGUGUCAAAGUGAUGAGCGAUUCAAGACGAUUGCCAAAAUCCAAUCCCUGUACAUAUACAUAAAAAUAUUAUAAGACAGGCAAAAUCUUGGUUGAGAAUAUUCAAAACACAUCGGGAGCUGGCAGACACCAACUAUAUCUACUUAUAUUAUAAUUAAUUUAAAAACACCAUGUGGCUUUAUUAUUUUAUAUUUAAGAUUUCCUACGGACGAAUUUUACUCUCCUGGGAAUACAUAUUUUAUCUUCCAAAUAAUAUGUGUGUGUAUACUUUUAUUCGUGGAAUCUAGACUUGGAUAUUCCUCACACGUUUUUCGUAAUAUGUCAUCAUACGGCGUAGAAGGUAACUGCUUGUAGGUAGGUACAUUGUUAUAUAUUGCUAUUUGUCAGUAAAACUAUUUACUUGAAAACUAAAGUGUACACAGUGAAGUAUGUUUGUGAAAUUAACAAGGUUACGUUUUCAUACCAAGACGUUUAUUGAUCAUUGAUCGUUAUUAUUAUUAAAAGUCUCAAUAAAAAAAUAAUAAAAUAUAAUAAUAUAGUUGAUAAUAUUUGUGUAUUGUGCAGUGUUAAAUCAGUAUAGAGGUUGAAUUAUCAUGUCAAGUAAGUAUUUAUGUAUAAAAAUAUGUAACGAGUUGAAUUAGAAAAAAAAAAAAUAAUA